UCAGAUCCAGAUCUGAGAAACCUGCAUAUCCAAACUCAGAUCUGAAAAACCUGCAUAUCCAAAAACAUUUUAAAUUAAAGAUAUUAAAAUUUUUAAUGGCUUCAAAAUAGAGAAAAUGAGUGAAAGAUUAGAUAGAUUUACCUUUAUAAAAUACAUAAAAAUAGAUAUCCAAAAUUUAAAUGAGUGAAAGAUGAGAAUCAUGUGAUAAAACAUCUGCAAAAAUAAGAUAAAUAAGUGAGAAAGACAUGAGAAAAAAAAUGAAAAUUGAUAUAAAGUUUGGUGUUCUUAAGUUCAAAGAGAUUAGACAAAGGUUGGAAAGUGUUAGUUUGGGAAAAUGUAAGAGCUUUAUGCAAAAAGAUGUUACCAAAUGGAAAAAAAAUCAGACAUGGAAAUUUACCAAAAUGCUCAAUUCUGUUAUGAAAGAGCAAACAUGGAAGAAAACUCCGUUAGAAGAUUCCAGGAAGUCUUCCGAGAAGUCUUCCGGAGUCUGACCCAUAUCUGAAAAACAUGUAUAUUCAAACCUUGAUCUGAAAAACUUGCAUAUCCAAAAACGUUCAGAUGGCUUCAAAAAGAAAAAAUGAGUGGAAUAUUAGAUAUAUGUACCCUUAUAGAACACAAAAAAAAAAGUAGAUAUCCAAAAUUAAUAGAUUUACAUUUAAAAGAGUGAGAUGAGAACCAUGUGAUAAAAAAUCUGCAAAAACAAGAUAAAUUAGUGAGAUGAGACAAAAAAAUGAAAAAUUCAUAUAAAGUUUGAUGUUUUCAAGUUUAAAAAGAUUAGAGAGAGGUUGGAGAGUUUUAAUGAGAAUCAUUAUAUUUUUGUUGCAGCCA
This 828-nucleotide long non-coding RNA is filed under the name Brassica rapa (field mustard). RNAcentral describes it as "long non-coding RNA (BRAP_LNC003428)". The record is from RNAcentral. Lineage: Eukaryota; Viridiplantae; Streptophyta; Magnoliopsida; Brassicales; Brassicaceae.